AUUGAACGCUGGCGGCAGGCCUAACACAUGCAAGUCGAGCGGAUGAAGGGAGCUUGCUCCUGGAUGCAGCGGCGGACGGGUGAGUAAUGCCUAGGAAUCUGCCUGGUAGUUGGGGAUAACGUCCGUAAACGGGCGCUAAUACCGCAUACGUCCUGAGGGAGAAAGUGGGGGAUCUUCGGACCUCACGCUAUCAGAUGAGCCUAGGUCGGAUUAGCUAGUUGGUAGGGUAAAGGCCUACCAAGGCGACGAUCCGUAACUGGUCUGAGAGGAUGAUCAGUCACACUGGAACUGAGACACGGUCCAGACUCCUACGGGAGGCAGCAGUGGGGAAUAUUGGACAAUGGGCGAAAGCCUGAUGCAGCCAUGCCGCGUGUGUGAAGAAGGUCUUCGGAUUGUAAAGCACUUUAAGUUGGGAGGAAGGGCAGUAAGUUAAUCUCUGGCUGUUUUGACGUUACCAACAGAAUAAGCACCGGCUAACUUCGUG
This 484-nucleotide ribosomal RNA is filed under the name uncultured bacterium. RNAcentral describes it as "partial 16S ribosomal RNA". It matches the Rfam family "Bacterial small subunit ribosomal RNA", at positions 30 to 507 of the family's 1533-position model. The record is from RNAcentral.